RNAcentral lists this ribosomal RNA (119 nucleotides) under Pelobates cultripes (western spadefoot toad). The record is from RNAcentral. Lineage: Eukaryota; Metazoa; Chordata; Amphibia; Anura; Pelobatidae.
AUCUAUGGCAAUAUCAGUCUGAAAGUGCCUGAUCUUGUCAGAUCUUAGAAGCCAUCCAGACUCGGGCCUGGUUAGCACUUGUAUGGGAGACCUACUAGGAACCUCUGGUGCUGUAAUGG